CCCUAGUAACUGCGAGUCAAGCGGGAAAAGCUCAAAUUUGAAAUCUGGCAGCUGACAGCUGUCCGAGUUGUAAUCUAGAGAAGUGUUGCCUGUGCUGGACCAUGUACAAGUCUUCUGGAACGGAGCGUCGUAGAGGGUGAGAAUCCCGUCUUUGACAUGGACUGCCUGCGCGCUGUGGCACGCUCUCGAAGAGUCGAGUUGUUUGGGAAUGCAGCUCAAAACGGGUGGUAAAUGCCAUCUAAAGCUAAAUAUUGGCGAGAGACCGAUAGCGAACAAGUACCGUGAGGGAAAGAUGAAAAGAACUUUGGAAAGAGAGUUAAACAGUACGUGAAAUUGCUGAAAGGGAAACGCUUGAAGUCAGCCACGUCGGCUAGAAAUCAGCCUCGCUUCUGCCUGGCGCACUUUCCGGUCGAUGGGUCAGCAUCAAUUUUGACCGCUGGAUAAAGUCUCUGGGAAUGUGGCAUCCUCUUUUGGAUGUGUUAUAGCCCACCGUCGCAUGCAGCGGUCGGGAUUGAGGAACUCAGCACGCCCUGCGAGGGGCCAGGCUUCGGCCAUGUUCGUGCUUAGGAUGCUGGCGUAAUGGCUUCAAUCGACCCGUCUUGAAACACGGACCAAGGAGUCUAACAUGCCUGCGAGUGUUUGGGUGGAAAACCCAUGCGCGAUAUGAAAGUGAAAAGUUGAGACC
This 685-nucleotide ribosomal RNA is filed under the name Inocybe sphagnophila. RNAcentral's name for it is "partial large subunit ribosomal RNA". It matches the Rfam family "Eukaryotic large subunit ribosomal RNA", at positions 78 to 742 of the family's 3401-position model. Lineage: Eukaryota; Fungi; Basidiomycota; Agaricomycetes; Agaricales; Inocybaceae. The record is from RNAcentral.